Molecule: long non-coding RNA, 313 nt
Filed under: Arachis ipaensis
Lineage: Eukaryota; Viridiplantae; Streptophyta; Magnoliopsida; Fabales; Fabaceae
Description: long non-coding RNA (AIPA_LNC000110)
Source: RNAcentral
GAUUUAUUUAUGGUAAAUGCUAUAUAAUGUUUAUAUGAACUAUGGAUUAGAUACUAAGGGUGUACAUAGGGUCGGGUGAAAUUGGAUUUGUCUUGGUCCGUACCCAACCCUAAAUAAUGACUGAGUAUAUUUUGCGACCCUUAUCCGACCCUAGACCCGAUAAAAUCACAUUACUUAUGGGGACACCAAAUAUUACUAGAAAAAUGUUGAGUACCAUUGGAUUUACCGUCGGAUUAAUCAAACAAAUCCACUAUUAAAUAGAUUACUGAUAGCACGAAUCCCCACACUUUCAUAGAGCUGUACCAUAAAGUGC